RNA transcript from Oreochromis aureus, 2438 nucleotides. It is a transcript of the gene named pleckstrin homology domain containing, family A (phosphoinositide binding specific) member 3, with no coding region annotated. Lineage: Eukaryota; Metazoa; Chordata; Actinopteri; Cichliformes; Cichlidae. The transcript has 11 exons. The record is from RefSeq and is a predicted model, not a curated record.
UCCGUAUUUUUGCGUUCAUGUGGAAUGGCUGCUCCGGGACUCCGUAGAGAAGCUGGUGGUUUGUUGACAUUUUUCUCCAUCAGCUGAGUGGCCAGAAGUUAGCCGUCGAGUUUCCGAGCAGCUCAGAACAAAUCAACACCUCAGCUUUAUUUUUACCUGCUGACGCUGUCAUUCAGCUGUCACAAACCACAAACACUUCACUCAUGUUUUACACAACCAGCGGCGCUACACAGAAAACCAAGGGUUACUGCGACCGUUAGCUACAUAUAGCUAGUGUUCGGCUGCAGCUAGCCUGGCUACGGAAAAGGCUAGCGACUUUAGCCGAUGUGAAGCGAAGACAUGGAGGGGAUACUUUACAAAUGGACGAACUACAUGACAGGAUGGCAGCCUCGCUGGUUUGUCUUAGAGAACGGAGUGAUCUCUUAUUAUGACAGCGAGGACGAUGUUGGCAAAGGAAGCAAAGGAUCCAUCAAGAUGUCUGUAUGUGACAUUAAAGUUCAUCCAACAGAUACGACCCGUCUAGAGUUGAUAAUCCCCGGCGAACAGCAUUUCUACGUACGAGCUGUGAAUGCUGCAGAGAGGCAGAGGUGGCUUGUGGCUUUGGGGUCAUCCAAAGCUGGGACACUGGACAGUAACAAACACAAAGGUCCAGACUGUCUGAAGACAAAAAUGUCUGAACUCCGCCUGUACUGUGACCUCCUCGUCCAGCAGGUCCAAACUAUCCAAUCACAGUACAGCGCUGACUCAGAGACCACGCCGACUUCUGAAGCGUCGCUGCUCAGUGCCACAUGUGCCACUUUCAUCAGGACUCUGGAGGAGUGUAUGACCCUGGCCAACCACAGUUUGACUCCUGACCUCCGACCUCCUGAAAGGAUGAAGCGGUCAAUCAGUCACCCUGGAACAUACAGCUUUGACAGGUCAGGUGUACUGAAGGAGUACGUGAGUGGAGGUCAGAGGUCAGCUCAGCGGAGAAACCGUACAAACUCUGACAGCUCUGUUUACGAUACUGAACGUUUGCUGCCCACUCUCAACGGUGACUCGUCCUCCAUUCCCGAGGAGAGGGCAGGCAGCGUGAGCCCAAAGACCACGCCCACUGACACAGACACUGACCUUUCCAUCUGAAGACCCCAAGAUGCCCAUCCAAACCCUGAGAAACUCUGGAAGAUGUCACAAACGCCACCAGAUCAUUAUUUGCUGAGAUACUGACACCAUUACACCAAGGAUGAACAUUUUCGCUGUAGGAACGUCCUUCACGAGCUUUUUCUCAGCUAAUUGCCAAACACAAGCACUUUGGAGUCGUUAGCGUUCAUUUCUUGAAGUCUUUCAGUUGCACAGUAUACACUAGACUGACAGCAGUUCAGUCCCAAGCUGAAGUUCAAGACAUCGAGAGUAUGAAUUAUAUGAAGCUUUAACCUGAUGAGCAUAUAUCAAGACGCACUCACCUGACGCUCAUUUGCACAAACACACGCAGGUGUGUGAAGCAGAAGUAUCCCGGACCUGAGGGAGAGAACGGGGAAGCAUGGACGAGUCUGGAGGACGUCACUCAGAUUCUGAGCAAAACACUGAGGACCAUCAAGCACAUCGUCAAAAACAAUCAAAGUCCAAAUUGAGCCCAGAACUCCAGAGUUUAUCUCGCUGCCCUGACUGCUACAACCACAAGGCACACUUCAGGUCUCGGUGGGGGGGCAAGAGUGAGUCCAGCUCAUCUGAUGAAGACUUUGGAUCAGAGGUUAACUCCGACUCAGAAGCAGAGUCCAGUUCCAGCAGCAGCUGCUUUACUGGGAACAUCGUAGAAGAGACACCAGUGAGGCCUGUAUGUGAAGACACUGCUGAGCCUGAUUCUGGAGGGCAGGAUGUUGACAGGCAAGCGGAGACAUCCGAGACUCCAGAGGAUAAGGAAAAGAUAAAGGAGAUGCUCAAAAGACCUCAGCUAAUCAAGUCUUAUUCUUUGCCCGCCUUCAAAACUCCUCACCUCACUCCUCUCAAUCUCCUGCCCCGCCCUCGUCAAGUCACCUCCACCCUUCACCUCCAGGUGCUACUCCAAAAACACAAGAAUGACACCACCUACACCAUCCGCCGACCAGAGAGAAGGGGAACCUUAAGAAGAGGAGGAACAGUAAUAGGCCCUCCCUCUGUACCAUUUCCAUGGCAGCGGCAGCCACCACAUCUUCAGCCUGACUAUAUUCCUCCUCUCAAACCUCAGGGUCAAUAUAUACCUCCACCUCUGUACACAGUUCCUAUGAUAUAUGCACCUGUAUCCUACACACAGCUGCAAACACUUACUGCACAACCAUGCCGGUGCUAUUACUGUAUGUACUUUCCUCACACACACUGGAGUCAUUACAGCAGUACACAGCUGCCCUGAUAAUAAAGUGCCCUGCAGUGUUGUAUAUAGCCCUUAAGCAUGUGAAAAACCCAAUAAAGAAAUGUGAAUAUAA